This 387-nucleotide ribosomal RNA is filed under the name Architectonicidae sp. H32. RNAcentral describes it as "partial 16S ribosomal RNA". The record is from RNAcentral. Lineage: Eukaryota; Metazoa; Mollusca; Gastropoda; Architectonicidae.
CGCUUGGUGUUAAUAAACUAAGUUUUUCCUGCUCGGUGUUCUAUCAACAGCAGCGGUACAUUAACCGUUCGAAGGUAGCAUAAUAAGCUUUUUAAUUGGAAGCGUUGCCAACGGAAUAAUGGGUUUAAAAAUAUCAUAAGAAAAUUUAAUUAAAAUUAUUUUUUUAGGUAAAAAUUCCUAUAAAAUUUUAAAAGACGAUAAGACCCUAGAAUUUACUUUUUUCGUUUAGGUGGGGAAUCUUAGGUAAAAACAACUUAACUCUUUAAAUACUCUAGGGAUAACAGCCUUAUUAAAGAGUAGCUCUUUAGAUUGGGACCUCGAUGUUGAAUUAGGUUACAAAUGUCUCCAGAAGAGACUUUUUAGGGUCUGUUCGACCCAUAAAUACCU